RNAcentral lists this ribosomal RNA (806 nucleotides) under uncultured bacterium. Its description in RNAcentral is "bacterial SSU rRNA". It matches the Rfam family "Bacterial small subunit ribosomal RNA", at positions 50 to 846 of the family's 1533-position model. The record is from RNAcentral.
AACACAUGCAAGUCGAGGGGAAACGGCAUCAAGCGCUUGCGCCUGAUGGACGUCGACCGGCGCACGGGUGAGUAACGCGUAUCCAACCCGCCCCACACUAAGGGAUAACCCGCAGAAAUGUGGACUAAUACCUUAUAUUUUCCACCAAGGGCAUCGUCGAUGGAACAAAGAUUUAUCGGUAUGGGAUGGGGAUGCGUCCGAUUAGGUUGUUGGCGGGGUAACGGCCCACCAAGCCUUCGAUCGGUAGGGGUUCUGAGAGGAAGGUCCCCCACAUAGGAACUGAGACACGGUCCUAACUCCUACGGGAGGCAGCAGUGAGGAAUAUUGGUCAAUGGGCGUGAGCCUGAACCAGCCAAGUAGCGUGCAGGAAGACGGCCCUAUGGGUUGUAAACUGCUUUUAUGCGGGGAUAAAGGAGUCCACGUGUGGAUUUUUGCAGGUACCGCAUGAAUAAGGACCGGCUAAUUCCGUGCCAGCAGCCGCGGUAAUACGGAAGGUCCGGGCGUUAUCCGGAUUUAUUGGGUUUAAAGGGAGCGUAGGCCGCGUUUUAAGCGUGUUGUGAAAUGUAGACGCCCAACGUCUGCAUCGCAGCGCGAACUGGGACGCUUGAGUACGCGCAACGUUGGCGGAAUUCGUCGUGUAGCGGUGAAAUGCUUAGAUAUGACGAGGAACUCCGAUUGCGAAGGCAGCUGACGGGAGCGGCACUGACGCUUAAGCUCGAAGGUGCGGGUAUCAAACAGGAUUAGAUACCCUGGUAGUCCGCACAGUAAACGAUGGAUGCCCGCUGUGUGCCAUUUAUGGUACGCGG